Molecule: unclassified non-coding RNA, 184 nt
Filed under: uncultured fungus
Lineage: Eukaryota; Fungi
Description: sequence contains ITS1, 5.8S rRNA gene
Source: RNAcentral
CUGAGUUUGAAAUCUUUUUUUUUUGAUUUCAUCUCCCACCCUUUGUUUACAAGACCUGUUGCUUCGGCGAGAUUGAUGAUUUUUUAUCAUCGGUUGAUUGAAAUCUCAAUGAACUUUGCUUGCCGAAGUUUUUUUACAACUCUUUUUUCUUGAUAUUCAAGUUUUCAAAAACAAAAAAAAAUCA